GCAAUCGCCCUUCGGGGUGCCCAGGCGCGAAAACUUUACAAUGCCGGCAACGGCGAUAAGGGGACCUCGAGUGCCAGGUUACAAAUCUGGCUGUCGUGAUGCCUAAAAAGCAUUGCAUAGCAAGGGCCGGGCAAGACCGGUGCCAGCCGCCGCGGUAACACCGGCGGCUCGAGUGGUAACCGUUAUUAUUGGGUCUAAAGGGUCUGUAGCCGGCCGGAUAAGUCUCUUGGGAAAUCUGGCAGCUUAACUGUCAGGCUUUCAGGAGAUACUGUCUGGCUCGAGGCCGGGAGAGGUGAGAGGUACUUCAGGGGUAGGGGUGAAAUCUUGUAAUCCUUGAAGGACCACCAGUGGCGAAGGCGUCUCACCAGAACGGACCUGACGGCAAGGGACGAAAGCUAGGGGCACGAACCGGAUUAGAUACCCGGGUAGUCCUAGCCGUAAACGAUACUCGCUAGGUGUCGGCCACGGUGCGACCGUGGUCGGUGCCGUAGGGAAGCCGUGAAGCGAGCCACCUGGGAAGUACGGCCGCAAGGCUGAAACUUAAAGGAAUUGGCGGGGGAGCAC
This 564-nucleotide ribosomal RNA is filed under the name uncultured archaeon. Its description in RNAcentral is "bacterial SSU rRNA". It matches the Rfam family "Archaeal small subunit ribosomal RNA", at positions 314 to 879 of the family's 1478-position model. The record is from RNAcentral.